Molecule: ribosomal RNA, 764 nt
Filed under: uncultured bacterium
Lineage: Bacteria
Description: bacterial SSU rRNA
Rfam family: Bacterial small subunit ribosomal RNA
Source: RNAcentral
AGAGUUUGAUCAUGGCUCAGGAUGAAUGCUGGCGGCGUGCCUAACACAUGCAAGUCGAGCGGCAGCGAGGGGUGCUUGCACCCUGUCGGCGAGCGGCGAACGGCUGAGUAACGCGUAGGAAUUUGCCCCAAAGUGAGGAAUAACUGCCCGAAAGGGUAGCUAAUGCCGCAUAUGGUCUUCGGAUUAAAGGAUUUAUCCGCUUUGGGAGAAGCCUGCGUUGGAUUAGGUUAUUGGUAGGGUAAUGGCCUACCAAGCCGACGAUCCAUAGCUGGUCUGAGAGGAUGAUCAGCCAGACUGGAACUGAGACACGGUCCAGACUCCUACGGGAGGCAGCAGUGAGGAAUCUUCCACAAUGGGCGAAAGCCUGAUGGAGCAACGCCGCGUGAAGGAUGAAGGCCUUCGGGUUGUAAACUUCUUUUAUGAGUGAAGAAUAUGACGGUAACUCAUGAAUAAGCACCGGCUAACUACGUGCCAGCAGCCGCGGUCAUACGUAGGGUGCAAGCAUUAUCCGGAGUGACUGGGCGUAAAGAGUUGCGUAGGCGGUUUAAUAAGUGAAUAGUGAAACCUGGUGGCUCAACCAUACAGGCUAUUAUUCAAACUGUUAAACUCGAGAAUGGUAGAGGUAACUGGAAUUUCUUGUGUAGGAGUGAAAUCCGUAGAUAUAAGAAGGAACACCAAUGGCGUAGGCAGGUUACUGGGCCAUUUCUGACGCUAAGGCACGAAAGCGUGGGGAGCGAACCGGAUUAGAUACCCCGGUAGUCCAA